GCAGAGGUGGGGGCGGGCGCGGCGCUGGUGCCGCAGCUGCCGCCCGCCUUCGAGGCGCCCUUCAAGCAGGAGCCCAACAUGUGAGAGCCCAGCAUCCUUCACGAAUCAUAAAGACGUCUGAUAUUACACUGUUAGAGUUGAAUAAAGGACAGAGAUGGAUUUGAAUUUCAUAAACAUUAAAACUUUAUACAUUGGUAUAAAAUUGUUAUAAAUUUCGUUAAUAACAUUCAUACGAAAAGUA
This is a long non-coding RNA of Melitaea cinxia (Glanville fritillary), 241 nucleotides long. RefSeq lists it as uncharacterized. Lineage: Eukaryota; Metazoa; Arthropoda; Insecta; Lepidoptera; Nymphalidae. The transcript is spliced from 2 exons. The record is from RefSeq and is a predicted model, not a curated record.